This 19-nucleotide ribosomal RNA is filed under the name Hirsutella rhossiliensis. Its description in RNAcentral is "partial 18S ribosomal RNA". The record is from RNAcentral. Lineage: Eukaryota; Fungi; Ascomycota; Sordariomycetes; Hypocreales; Ophiocordycipitaceae.
CGCCGCGGAGGGAUCAUUA